RNAcentral lists this long non-coding RNA (26436 nucleotides) under Sorghum bicolor (sorghum). RNAcentral's name for it is "long non-coding RNA (SBIC_LNC017668)". The record is from RNAcentral. Lineage: Eukaryota; Viridiplantae; Streptophyta; Magnoliopsida; Poales; Poaceae.
CCCAAAUACAAAGUCCCCGAUAAUACUGUAAGCACUUUAACCGAUGUUUCAAUCAUUUCACUUUCAUUUUCUAUCGACAACUUAUUUUUUUUUUGUUUUAUACAGGUCGAUGAUACGCCACCAUCAGCUAGCAGAAGUGGCAGGCCGAUCAAACUCCUUCCAUCGGGCCCGAUCUCUUUGAUCGGCAACAACGCUCCGAGCUUGGCGCCCUUAAUGCACCGGGGUGUGCGUUUCAAGAAAAUCACCACCAGGCGAGCGAAAACAUCCCCGUCGGUAGCUGCCACUGCUUUGGCACAAGCUUUUAAGGUAAAUUCUUGAAUUCUUCAACUCAUACCGAUUCCAUUCUUACAUUUACACAAUUUUUUAGGACACAUCGGCUAGCAUGGGAACUUCAUCAAUAACUUUUACUAUUUCAACCAGAACCUCAUCAAUACUGUACAAAACAUUCACUGCUAUAUCAGCAAACUGGCAAAUCGGCAAAGACCAGAAGAACCAAAACGACUGCCGAUGCCUCCCAGCCCAGCCAAGCAAAGAGAAAGGGCCCCAAGAGUACCAAGUCACAAGCGAAGCGUCAGAGAACAGCAACGCCUCCUCCUCCUCCAAGGUCACCGAUCCCUGUAGAAUCGUCCCCCUCUUCUCUAGAAGCUCAGACACAGCAAGUACCAUCUCCAACUCAGCCACAAGAAGAACCUCAGCUGGAAGAACUUUAGCUAGAAGAACCCCAGCCAGAAGAGAUAUCAACUGAUGUACACGAGCAGACCGCCGAUCCAGUGAGCUCAAUCAUAGCAUCGGUAGUCUCCUCGAUCCAGACAAGCAUUGCACCCCCUCAAGGUAAAGUACUGUCUAUGAAAUUAUUGCCGAUGGCCCUAUUUUUCCACUUUAUAAUUAUCUCUGUUAAUCUUUCAGCUGACAUAGUCUCAUCGGCAACUCCAGCCGAUCCACCUGUAGUACCAUCGGCCUGAACUAGCCAGAGGCGAGAGAUAGCUCUAAAACAAGUAAGCUAUUUGAUUAUCAUUCUUUAUUUUACUAAUAUUUCAUCAUCAAAUAACUCAUUUCCUUUUUUCUUUCAGAAACAAGAUUCUCCCGACAGCCUGUUCUCCUUUUCCAUCGAGAUUUCUGAGGAUGAAGGCGAGGAAGCAAGCUCUUCUCAAGCAGUUGGAAUUUCAUCGGCAGAGAUUAGAGCAAAGCUGGAAGAUCUGUCGGCCCUCCUUCAUCAAGACACAGCCCAACUGGUUGAUGACUCCGAUCCAGCCAAGGUUCUGUUUAAGGCUCUCAGAGGCCUAAUUCCUGCCGAUGCCGAGGAGAUUCUCUUCAAGGCUGCUCACUUGGAGAGUCGACAGCUCCAGUAUCAAAAGGUCACUCAGCGCCUUGCCGAUAGAGCUGCUCACGCCCAGCUCUCAGAGGAGGUGAUGAAAGUAAAGCACCUUGCCGAUGAAAAACAUAAGAGCAUCGGCAUUCUAAAAUCCUCAAGAGAUACGCUGAAGCAAAAGAUCUCCGAUCUAUCGACAAAGAGGGAAGCCCUGCUGGCAGAGCUUAAACAAGUAGAAGAAGCCCUGUCCCAUGCUCAACAGGAAGAAAGUCAGCUGCCUGAGAUGAUCAAGACCCUUGAAAAAUAGCGGAUCGCCUAAGCUCACAAGGCACUGCAGAUGAAGAAGAAGCCGAAACCGGUGGAAGGCUCUGCCGAUGAAGAUAUCAAAGAGAUAGAAGAAGCCGAUCAAAUUCGCCUGCGCGCUAUAUCGGCCAUCCAAGCCUUGCUGAAUGCAUGAAUUCUUCAUCGACGACGUGCUUUGCUUUAAGAAUUCCUGAACUUUUUGGUCUAGCCGAUAGGACUGUUAUCGGCACCCUUUUAAAACAUUGAGUCCGGCCCCAGAUACACUUUAAUCCAGCUGAUAGGAAUGUUAUCGGCACUUAAAGUUUCAUGCAUCAAUCCAUAUGCUAGGAUAAUAUUUCUUUAAGUAUUUGCCAUUCAAUGCCGUGGGAAAUUCAACUCCUUCGAGAGUUUCUAAAAUAUAGGCGUUGCUAGGAGCAGAUCGAUUUAUCCGAUAGGGACCCUCCCAAUUGGGAGACCACUUCCCAAAUUUUGAACUUUUAGUCCCGAUCGGUAAGAUUAGUUUCCACACUAAGUCUCAUUGGCAAACUCCUUAGUCUUUACCUUCUUAUCAUACCAUCUGGCAACUCUCUUUUUAUUUUCUUCUAUACUUAUCAAAGCCUUUAGCCGAUGCUCUGCUAAAACAUCUAACUCGUCUUUCAUCAAAGUAGCAUAAUCAUCGGCAGCCAACUGGUCUUCAAAAGAUAGUCGCCUAGAACCGGUUUUAAUUUCCCAUGGCAGUACGGCAUCGUGUCCAUACACCAACUGAUAGGGUGAAACUUUAGUUGACCCAUGACAUGCCAUCCGGUACGACCAUAAAGCUUCAUUCAACAAUGUAUGCCACCUCCUAAGAUUUUCCUCAAUCUUUCGUUUGAUAACUUUAAUAUUCCUUUGUUAGACGCCUCGGCCUAUCCAUUAGCUUGAGCAUAAUAAGGAGAAGAAUUCAACACUUUAAUCCCCAUACCGAUUGCAAAUUCAUCAAACUCGCCCGAUGUAAACAAAGUACCCUGAUCGGUAAUAAUUGUUUGAGGAAUACCAAAUCGGUAAAUAAUAUGCUCUUUCACAAAAUCAAUCAUAUUGGCCGAUGUAACUUUUUUCAAAGGAAUAGCCUCAACCCACUUGGUGAAAUAAUCAGUGGCAACUAAGAUGAAUUUAUGCCCUUUGCUCGAUGGUGGGUAAAUUUGACCGAUCAGAUCAAUAGCCCAUCCUCGGAACGGCCAAGGUUUAAUAAUGGGAUUCAUGGCCGAUGCGGGCGCCCUUUGAACAUUGCCAAACUUCUGACAUCCUUGACACCCUUUGAAAUAUUUAAAGCAAUCCUCGAGAAUAGUCGGCCAAUAAUACCCAUUUCUCCUGAUCAUCCACUUCAUCUUAAAAGCCGACUGAUGCGCUCCACACACUCCUUCAUGGAUUUCACCCAUCAAAUUCUUAGCUUCAUCAUUACCUAAACAUUUGAGAAGAACCCCAUCGAUUGUCCGAUAAUAGAGCUCAUCCUCGAGGAACACAUACUUGGUAGCCUGAAACCGAACACGCCUCUCAAUCUUCUUGGAUGGAUUCUUUAAAUAAUCAAUAAUUUCUUUUCUCCAAUCAUCGGCAGUAAUUGCCGAUAUUGUAUUCAAUAUGGGCUGAUAUCCCGAGACAUGCUGAGCCAACCGAUUAACCUCCUCAUUAUGCAAUCGAGGGACAUGCUCUAAUCGGAAAUCUUUGAAUUCCCUUAAUAGUUGCAUACUCUUUUCGUAAUAAGUUAUCAGAACUUCAAUUCGGCAUUCAUAACUUCCAGCUAAUUGAUUUAUAACCAACAUAGAAUCUCCGAAGAUCUCAACAGCAUCAGCAUGAACCUCUUUUAGUAACUCCAACCCUUUGAUCAAAGCUUGAUAUUCGGCUUGAUUAUUUGUUGACGUAGCAACAAUCGGCAAAGAGAAUUCAUAUUUUCUUCCCUGAGGGGAAAUUAACACUAUGCCGAUUCCUGCCCCCCGGUCACACGUGGAUCCAUCAAAGAAGAGCGUCCAAGGCACAAUUUCCAAAGUCUCCACUGCACCGCGAUGUUGAGUCACAAAAUCGGCCAUAAUCUAUCCUUUAAUCGCUUUAGCCGAUUCAUAACGCAGAUCGAAUUCCGACAGUGUCCAAAUCCACUUACCGAUCCUGCCACUCAUAAUCGGCAUAGAUAGCAUAUAUCGGACCACAUCAUCUUUGCAUAUAACAGUGCAUUCGGCCGAUAACAAAUAGUGCCUCAACUUAAUGCAUGAGAAAUAUAGGUAUAAACAUAAUUUUUCAAUAGCCGAAUACCUGGUCUCAGCAUCAAUCAAUCUUCUGCUUAAAUAGUAAAUCACACGCUCCUUCCCUUCAAAUUCUUGAAUCAAAGCCGAACCGAUGACCAUUCCAUCGGUAGACAAAUAUAAUUUGAAGGGCUUUCCUUGCUGAGGUGGAAUCAAGACUGGAGGAUUUGUCAAAUAAUUCUUGAUUUCAUCCAGAGCCAACUGUUGCUCUUCUCCCCAUAUAAAUUCUUGAUCGGCUUUUAAUUUAAGUAAAGGACUGAAAGCACGAAUUUUUUCAGAUAAGUUGGAAAUAAAUCGCCUGAUAAAAUUUAUUUUGCCGAUUAGAGAUUGGAGUUCAGUCUUGUUAGUAGGAGCAACUAUCUUGUUAAUAGCAUCGAUAGAUCUUCUGCUAAUUUCAAUUCCUCUUUGAUGUACCAUGAAACCAAGAAAUUGCCCUGCCGAUACACCAAAUGCACACUUAUUAGGAUUCUUUUUUAAACCAUGCUUCCUUGUGCACUCCAACACCUUUCGCAAAUCGGCAAGAUGCUUUGUGAAAUCCCCAGAAUUAACCACCACAUCAUCAAUGUAAAUCUCUACUAGCUUGCCGAUGAACUCAUGAAAGAUAAAAUUCAUAGCCCUUUGAUAAGUAGCACCAGCAUUUUUCAAGCCAAAGGUCAUGACUAUCCAUUCAAACAAUCCAACAUGACCAGGACAUCUAAAUGCAGUCUUUGAAAUAUCUUCAUCAGCCAUGAAUAUCUGAUUAUACCCUGCAUUGCCAUCCAUAAAGCUAAUAACUCGAUGUCCAGCUGCAGCAUCAACCAGCAAAUCGGCAAUUGGCAUUGGGUAACCAUCCAUCGGUGUAGCCUUGUUAAGAUUUCUAAAAUCAAUACAAACUCGAAGCUUCCCAUUUUUCUUGUAAACUAGGGCAACAUUGGAAAUCCACUUGGCAUACCGACACUGCCGAAUAAAUUUAGCUUCGAUAAGUUUAGUGAUUUCAGCCUUAAUAUCAGGAAGAAUAUUAGGAUUACAUCGGCGAGCUGGCUGCUGAUGUGGCUGAAAUCUAGACUUGAUAGGCAACCGAUGUUCAACAAUAGUUCGGUCUAAACCAGGCAUCUCGGUAUAAUCCCAAGCAAAGCAAUCUUUAUAUUCCUUUAACAAAUUAGUUAACUGUUGCUUACACUCAGAAUUUAACUUAGCACUAAUAAAAGUAGGUCUAGGCUUAUCACAAUUACCUAUAUCUACCUCUACUAAAUCAUCAGCCGAUGUAAACCCCUGGCCUAAUUUUCCAUCAUCGGCGAACCUAUCCAUUAAAACUCUUCAUCAGAACUGACUGCUUGGAUCGGUGGAAUUUCAUAAUCGGCAACUUUGAGGAAAUCUUUCUCCCAAAUCUCCCCUGAGAUACACCUGGUCCUUUCAUAAGUGUCUGCUUCUAUCGAUGCGAUGACAUAAGAAGAAUCUCCCGGGACAAUCUCAAUCUUGUCACCUACCCACUGGACUAAGCAUUGGUGCAUUGUUUAUGGGAUGCAACAAUUGGCAUGGAUCCAGUCUCUCCCCAGUAGUAGAUUGUAGGCACCUUUUCCACUGAUCACGAAGAAUGUUGUCGGCAAGGUUUUGCUACCGAUGGUCAACUCAACACAUAUUGCCCCUUUAACCGGAGACACAUUUCCUUCAAAGUCCUUUAGCAUCAUAUCGGUCUUGGUCAAAUCUUGAUCUCCUUUCCGAUAGACUGCAUACGGCAUGAUGUUAAUAGCAGCCCCACCAUCAAUUAAUAUCUUGGUCAUCGGUUGUCCAUCAACUCUUCCUUUGACGAACAGAGCUUUAAGAUGCUGCCUUUCAUUGUCGACAGACUUUUCAAAGACAGUCGUCAUCGGAUCCAGAGCCAACUGAGCUAUCUGGUCGAAAAAGUCCAGUUCCUCAUCAUCGCUGGACGGCGCAAGAAACUCCAUCGGCAACAUGAAUACCAUGUUAACAUCUACGAUAGCCCUUUUCCCUUAGGAUCUGGUUGCUGCUGAUCUCCAGAUUGGCCAGAAUUCUCGCCUUUGCUUAGCUCUUCUCGCCUUUCGCGUUGCAACCUUCUCUUCUGUGUCCUAGUCAAUCCCUCUGGACACCAUGGAGGAAGCUGUGGCUGCCUUGCCGAUAGGCGACGACUUUCCCUUGACUCCACCCGAUAGGUAUUGGCAUCUCUACAAAAUAUGAACUCAUCGGGAACUCGAGCAUUUGCCAUCUCUUCAAGCUCCUCUUGGUUCCUAGGAAAUUACUCAACACAAUCACCAAGCCUAUCAUGCACACUGAGCCUGCCCCCCAGCCGAUCAUGAACUGAAGUCCUACCCCUAAUCGGCCCAUCAAAUCGCCGAUCAUCGUUUUGAUACUGCCGAUUAGGUCUAUCAUACCGAUCAUAACCAUUGCAUUCAGGGCAAUCUCUAACAGUGGGCAAUUUAAUAUUCUGCUCCCAGCAAUGGAUGAAGAACGGGCAGUUCCAGUGAUCCUUAUGCCGGUUUCAUUCUUGUCGGCGUCUUUCUUCUUCCCAACGAUAGUCUUCCUGCUGGCACCGAUACCGAUCCUCACGUUGCUGCCAAGUCUCCCGAUGCCUUCUAUGAGUUAUCACAAUGCCAGAUCGGGGAGGCCUUCCUGAGCUAGUUCCCUCUUGGAUCAAACCCUUUUCUUUGGCAUCGGCAGCAGUAAUUUGAUGCUGAGGUUCCACCGAUACACUUCUUUCAGCUGCUUCCGACGUCAAGACCUUGGUUUUUCCCUUAGCAUCCAACAUAUUUAUUGGGAAAGGAUGUUGAUCGAUCUUCAUCGGCUUCUGAGCUUUAUAAUUAUCAAAUUUGAUCCUCCCAGAUUCUAUAGCCGACUGCAGUUGUUGCCUGAAAACCUUACACUCAUUGGUGCUAUGAGAGGUUGCAUUGUGCCACUUGCAGUAUUUCAUCUUCUUUAAUUCUUCAGCCGAUGGAAUCACAUGAUUGGGUGACAACUUGAUUUGCCCUUCCUAAAGUAGAAAAUCAAAUAUCCUAUCGGCUUUAGUGAUAUCAAAUACAAACUUUUCUGGCUCUUUAUGACCAAAAGGGCAAGACAUCGACUUCUUAUUUUUCACCCAUUCUACCAAGCCGAUGACUGGCUCCUCAUCAGAAUCUGAGCUUGCUGCCUCAUGAACAAAUGACACCUUUUUAUUCCAUGCUCUCUUGGGCUCAAAGGGUUUGAUAUCCUGGUCGGAAAUCCUCUGCACCAGGUGACUUAGGCUCUCGAACUCUUGAGAAGCAUACUUGUCUCUGAUAUGUGGCAACAAACCCUAGAAAGCCAAAUCGGCUAGCUGCUAAUCAUCUAGAACCAGACUAUAGCAUUUAUUCUUGACCUCCCGCAAUCUCUGCACAAAACUUUCAACCGAUUCAUCAUUGCGUUGCUUCAACCUGACUAAAUCGGUAAUUUUCUUCUCAUGAACUCCAGAGAAGAAGUACUUGUGGAACUGCUUCUCUAGAUCGGCCCAAGUGAUCACUGAGUUGGGAGGUAACGAAACAAACCAAUUGAAAGCCGAUCCAGAUAAAGAUGAUGAGAACAGACGAACCCUUAACUCAUAUCUGUUAGCAGCUUCCCCACACUGGAUGAUGAACCUAUUGACAUGCUCCAUAGUCGAUGUAUCAUCCUGUCCAGAAAACUUAGUGAAGUCCGGUACCUUGUACCGAUUUGGAAGUGGAAUCAGGUCAUAUGCGGGAGGAUAUGGUGUCCGAUAAGAGUAAGUAUUGACUUUGGGUUUUAUCCCAAAUUGGUCUCUCAUUACUUCAGCUAUCUUAUCGACCCAAUAAGCAUCGGCGUCUUGCCGAUGACGCGGUUGUGGAUCUGGCACCUGCUGAUAUGCUUCCACGUGUCUCUGGGGUGCACGAUCUGCAUGGAACAUGGGUUUAACCAUUUGACCGCCAACCUGCUGACCAAGAUUUAUUGGCUGGUUGACCAACCCUUGAUUCUGAAACCCAGGUUGGAUUUGUCCCUGUUGAAACCCUGUAGCCUGAUGAUUCUGCUGAUGCAUCUGUGGAAAGACUAACUGUCCUGUCCAUCCACUGUUAGCAUUCAUCGGCAUAAGCCCUGCCGAUGACUGGUAAUUGGGCAUCAUCAUUGAAUUGACGUAUCCUAGCUGUGUCAUAAACCUUUGUUGCAUCGGCACUGAAUCUGCCGAUGCGUUAGGCAUCUGGAACGUUGGAACUUGAGAAUUCCCAGUGUAAGGUCUUGCAGUAGUAGUUGUAGUAAACCGGGGACUCUGAUUCAUCGGCAGAUUUGGAGGUGCCGAUGUCAUAGGGACCUUGUCUGUCAUAUCAGCCACUUGAGACGUUCCAGGAGUCCUCAACAUCAUCUCUUGGGGCAUACCAUAACCCCACCAGUUAGGAGGAACAGAUCCCGACAUUGCCGAUGCCAAUAGAUCCGUGGCAAGCUUGAUUUGCCCAUCUGAUGUUGAUGGAUUGGUCAUCAUGGGUGUAGAUUGCACAUCAGCGACCCCUAAUGUGCUUGGAGGAGAAGUAGCUUCUACACCCGCAGCGGCCGUAGUAGCCGAUGGAGCUGUGACCACUGGUGACCCCGGCUGAUGAUGGGCAGGACCGACAUAAUUUGGUGGUAACUGACCUUCCUUGAAAGUUUUAGCCACCGCAUUGAACACUGUGUUGGACAGCACACCAGCUUGAUUGAUGAAGGCGCGGUUAAUGACACUGUCAACCAUGUCUUGGAGUUUACUAGGAUUGGCUUCAAAAGUAAUCUGCCGAGGUGCCGGCAAUGCUUCCUUUUGGAUCACCUCGCCGCUCCUGUUGAUACUGAAGGGUUUCAAGCAUUGCUGCUUGUAGUCCUCCAUGGCCUUUGCAAUAGCUUGCUUCUGCUCAUCUCUGAGAUUGGCUUCCGUCACAGGGAUGACGUUCUCUAAGUCGAAAUCGGUGUUCGACAUGUUGAUCUUGAUCUUGAAUCUGUCCCACCGGGCGUGCCAAAAGAUGUGUUGAUGCAAAAGCUGAUCUGCAAACACAAAGGGCUAAUACCCGAUUCAAACGUUAUGGCGUGCCAACCGAUUUGACCUUACAAUCGACAAAGGUGGUAACUCGACCACUUUGGUCCCGACAACAGCGAUAUGCCCGGAUGCCACGGCCAAGAGGUGAUCAUGCAGAACUUGAGAACACGCCGAGUUUGACUCGAUGAAUUCCUAAGAACUCAUAGUAAAAAGAAAAUAUGACGAAGUCGUCGACAAAGUAGAUGCUGGAAUAUGAGUAAAAACUUGUGUUUGAUUGAUUGAUAGAUGUCUCAUUACAUUGCCCUAGGGUCUACAUUUAUUCCUUGUCCAAAGAGCUACAACCAGACACGACUACGACUCAAAUUCCAGAUUAAACGGAAACCGUAUACAAAAUGAACUCUAAUAACUAAAGAAAACAUUAAACUACCCCCGUGACCGAUCGGGACACCAUCAUGAAUCAAUCGGCAACCUCCACGCUUUUCUUCAGAGCCAUCGGCAGACCUCCUGUUGUGGCCAUCAGCAAACAUUGAUACUGGUCAUCGGCACGAACACGUCACCACUUCUGGACUUAGUCACAUUCAGUUGUUUCCCCAUCGGCAACUUCCCUGUAGACUAGUUACCGUUGCUUCAUCUGCCGAUCUAUACUUUACCAACCCCAGGUACGCGUCAAAAGAUACGUGUCCAAAAACGGUGUCAACAGCUUGAUUUCUUCUUGUGUUCUAUUUUUUCUCACUUCUCUGAAACAGGUGCCGAGGGGGUCCUUUUGUAGGCCAAGGAGUCUUCUGGAGGAAGGAGCUCAAAGGGGGCUGAAGUGGAGUGGCGGGCGCUAGGGAUCAACGGCGAGCGCCACCCCUGAGUAACUGCCUUAGCUCCCAAAAGUCUAGAUUGGCUCCCACGGUCGGUUUCAAGUAGGACACGUGUCGGAGUAACGUUUUGUCACAUCCAGGAAAACCAUAAUUCAUGUGACAUCAUCUUUUGGCCAUUGGAUCAAACCGAUGUCACUUUAGACACCUCAGAUGGACUCCUAGAGGUGUCACGUGGAUCGGUGACGUGGCUUGCCACACUAGGGGUGGCACCCGCCAGGUGGGCCUGAUGGCCACCACCUUGGCAUGGCACCCGCCACCCUGGCUGGCCUAUGUGGCACUAGGUAUGGUUGGUUGCCUUCUAGGUGGGUCUAAUUCGCUCUUUUUCCUGCUGUUGCCUGCAUACAAUUAAAUUUCUUUGUACAUGUGGAACUGGGUAAGUAAUAAGCAAAAUGUGCACAUGAUGAUGUUGAUUUACCAUGGUUUUGGAUGAAAUGUUGAUGGUCAAAAUGGGUGUUAAGGACCAUCAAUAGUAGGCAAUGAACAUUACAAUUAUGAAUAAGUGAUUAUCCCAAGUCAUAUCAAGUAUUCGACUCAAACACGAACUAGAAUGAAAACAAGAUAGAUUACUAGAACAAGAACAAAAACACGAUGAACUAGACAAUUAACAUGAUGAUCUAGAUGAUGAAUUACACAACUAGAAGAUGAAUUAGACAACUAGAAGAACACAAUGUAGAACUAGAAGACAAAUAGAUAAACUAUGUUGAAUACAAGAGAGAAGUACAAGGCUUGUACCUAGCAUCCUCGUGACUAAAUCUAGAAUCCAAGCAUUGCUUGACUCCUCUAAUUCCUAUUCUAUGCUCUAGCUAUGCCCUAGUUGGUGAAGCUCUUGGGUGCCCUAAGUCGAUGACUGGUGAACUGAUUGAUUUGUUGGUGAUCGCCUCAAGGGGGGGCUACCCCUUAUUUUAUAGUUUGGUGGGGUGCGCCAAAGCCCUCGGAUCAAAACCAACUCGAACAAGGGCCAAGAUGCAUUGCAGAAUUGGAUUAGAGGCCGUCCCGUAGAGGAGGGGGAAUAGCCAGGUGGGCCUAGGAAGACCGACCUACAUGUGGGGCCGACCGGACCGACCUACAUGUGGGGCUUGCUUUGCUCUGGUCGCUUCUUGUGUCUUCUAGAUCCUUCUCGUCGACUUUUGCGUGAUUCUGACUUGAUCUCGUUCUGUCUCCUUGAUCCUUACUCCUCCUCGGAUUCUUCUACUUUAGUCCGUCAAUAUCUAGAAUUACACCAGAGCUACGGAAUUUAUUAGGUUUGUCCCUAUAGCUCUGUUGUGGUGUUGGUUCCGAAGUAUUCCAGAAGAUUCCAAUCAUGUCGAAUGGGGACUCCAUCAUUGGGACUUCGAUUAGGGCAAAUGAUAUAUCCGUUUCGAUCAUCUCGACAAGUUCUUCGCAAUGGUGUGCUCUAUUUCAUCAUUUGAUGUACUUUUAUGUGGAAAGAUAUGCAUAACCUGCAAAACAAGUAGGAGCAACACAACUUGUGGAACUUGUUAGGAUAAAACCCUACAACUAUGCAUUAACAACUCUUUUCUUGUUGUAUGGUGCAUGAAUUGAUGGUAUAGUGUUGACAUUAAGGAGCGUCAACAAACUCCCCUAAGCUUAACCUUUGCUAGUCCCUAGCAAAUAGAGGAUUAAAUUAACAUGAUAGAUCAGGAGUUGCUACAAUGUUUUCAUGCCUUACAAGUACACCAAUGUUCAAAAAUUCUCCUCCGGAUUAGAUUUUUUUAACUUACCCAUAUUACUUGUAACUGUGGGGCUUUUAUCCUUCUCUUGGGUCUUUAGUAGUUGAAAAGUAGAACAAUCAAGUCAAGCACUAUGUCUCAAGCCGUUCGAUCAACCUUUAUUCUGGAGUUUUGUAGAAUUUUCACAAAGAAAUAGAGAUUCCUUUGUAUGACCCUUUCAUGUCUCUCAUUUUUGGUAUUUGUGGAUCCUCACUAAAAAUAAGUAAUUGUAUCUUCUUUCAAGAUAUAGAUAUGUGGAGUUUAUAUGGAAAACAUAGAUAAUUUGCAAAGCAUAUAUUUAUCAAGUCAAAUAUUAGACCCAGAAAGAAAAUCGUACACUCUAAUCAAGAUGUGCAUUUAUUGUGUAAGCAUAUUUAUUAGUGCUCUUCUAAAGGUAUACCUCACUGCAAGGAUAUUAGAAAAUAUGUGGUAUAUGUCUAAUUCUACUAUCGGGCACGUGCCCCUUUUUACCUCUCAGGCGAGUGUCUUUACACCCAUUGUUACCUCUCAGCGUGUGUAGAAGCACCCAUUGUUUUAACUCUCCCAUUUAUGAUAGGACACAUUUCCCUUUUGUAUAGACACAUGCUUCUAACACCUUUUAGAGCAGUCACCUUAAUUGGAGCAUUGAUUCAUUUAAUUAAUUAAUUGCACACUAUUUUGAUCAUAGAGCAUGACAGACUUUAUGGGGGUCAACAUAGCUUGACUUAAUUCAAUGCAGAGCAGAAAUUUAUAAAGGUGUAAAGUAUAUACUUCAGCUCUUGGUAGGGAUCAAACUCCCAACCAUACAAAGAAACUCACUUUUUAUUUUUCAAAAGAUAAAUCUCUAGAACUCUAGUAUCACUAGGAUCAAGAUAAAUAGCAGCCCAAACUUUUUCACAUCAUACCCAUCAACCACCUAGACUUAGAUCUAGACUUUGCAACCCACAAGUCUUAGGUUUAGAGGAAAUAUUUAUCAAAAUAUUGUUUUUCUAAAACUCGAGAGAAUUUAAUGUUGAAAAGUAGGUACUUGAAAGGAAUUAUGAUAGAGCAACUAUUCAUCAUCUCCAUGCAAACAGAUUUAUCUAGAACUCAUUUAAUUCUAGGGCAGGUAAGACCUUGUACAAACUCUCUUUUUAUUUAUUAUCUAAUAUUAAUGACUAAUAGAUAUUAAUGACUAAUGGAUAUAAAAAGACUCUUAUAGAAUAUAAUAUAUAUAUAUACAUAUAUAUAAAUAAUAUGUAUGGGAGAAAUACUUAGCUAGGUAAACGAGGGAUGCCCUCCCCAAGCUGAAUGUUGUCGUCUUUCUUUGACAACGUAGACAUCUUCAAUCUCUCUAGGUCUCCCUCCUAGAGUAGAUGAAGAACUUCUAGCUAUGCCUUUCAAUCUUCUUGUUGAAAUCUGUCUCGAUCAAAUAGACACCAAAACUCGGGGAACAGAUUAAGCAUUAGUGGUAUAACUAUUAUGCCUUAUCCAUUGGAGUCUUUUUUAAAAUUAAGAACUUUUCAACAAGAUCUCGAUAUUUUAAGAUUUUCUAUUUAUAUAUGCAAAUGCAAGAAUUUUUAUUUUAUUUUUAGGCCUCCACAGUAAAUAACCGAGACCUAUUCACAUGGGGGUUAGAGUUUUUUAAAUGCAAUGCAAAAAUUUAAACAUGCUAAACGAAUUGCAGAAAUAAAACUAUGCAAGAAAUGAAAUAUGAGGAUAACUACCGAUGUUACCUUUUGGCAAAGGUUCGGAGAUUUAGGUCUGUCGUAUCGGACCUAGUUCGGUCAGGCACUUGAGGGGGUCUCUAAGGAGAUAGAGUCCUCUAGUUUCUCCCCUUGAAUAUCUAACGAACUGGGAGAUAGCGAUUCUUCUUCUUGUGAUGGAGUGCUCAGUGGUGUUGUCUUUUUCUUUCUCCAUACUUUCUGAGUCUUCGGUUUCUCUUCUCGUGAUUCCUCUUUCCUUUCUUGAUUAGCCUCUUCCUUCUUGAUGAUUUGAGAGCGAUGUCACCUAUUCUUGUUCUUCUUGGGCUUCUCAAGAGUGGUGUAGCUAUUAAAGUAACAUCACACCUUUUCUCCAGGGAAGUGGAAGUGGAUCUCCCCUUGCUUCAUGUAGAUGAUGGCACUUGUGGUGUGAAGGAAUGGUCUUCCUAAGAUGAGGUGGACAUCAUCCUCUCCACUCGUGUCUAGAACCAUCAAAUCAGCGGAGACCUCUAUAUCCCUAAUCUUGACCAAUAUAUCUUUGGCUAUUCCUUCUAGAAAUUGGAACGAUUGGUCCGCCAGCUGCAGCUGCAAAUAUGUUGGGCACAAGGGACUAUCAUGAUAUUAGUGUCUAUAUGUUAUUGUAGACAUGAUAUUGAUGCUUGAGCCGAUGUCGCAAAACGUCUUGUAGAAGGUGCUUCCCUCAAUCAUACAGUCGAUGAUCAUACAGUCGAUGGUAGGUACUGCAGGAUCCUAUAGCUUCUCAAUUUGGGAUGGAGCAAGAGUGUUGGUAUUUCUUACGCACAAUUAAAAUAUGAAGGAUUCUGCAAGCACACAGAAAACCAUUGUAGCAUUUUACUGGGAGUAUUCCAUGUAUCGUUAUUUAUAUUUUACCACUGGGAAACAAUGAAUAAAGAUAUUGAUAGUUCACCAUCAUGUAUCUACUAACUAGUACACCAACUAGACUAAAGUAGGGGUAAAUAAUAGAUGAUAGGAAUUAUGCAUAUAUGACACACAACGGAGAAUUCUAUGAUAAAAGAGUAGAUAGCUAAAGUGAGAGGACAACGAGAGAGUUUAAGGUUCCUAAAUACUUCUCUAUUACUAGGGUUCUAUAAUAACUAAUUCAUGGUAGGUAAAGCAAUCACACAAAAACAUUUCAGAACAUCAGAGCACUUAGCCACAGACAGACGAGAAGAGGGCUAGGACGGUGUGACUACGGUCCUACAACACCAAUCCAAACGUGGUGGAAUACGUCGGCCGUGAGGGCUGUCACCACCUGGGGCUACCACAACUAUCCAUAGAACUGGGCGCAAUCUCAGGUAACCUAUAGUCUAGACACCAUGUCUCUACUACAAAUUACAACUCUAAUCACAAAUAAUAACUAGAGCACCCGAUGCGGGCGGAGAUCCUAUGCUAAAGUAUAACAACCAUACUAACCAGUCAAAUGUAAUGCAUAAAAGUAAAUAGAGAAGAUGAAAUAUAUUAAAACAUAAGUCUUACAAUAAAAGAUACAAAGAUAUACCAGAACUCUGACGACUCAUCCGAAGACUACUCCAGAACUCGGGCGUAGCGUCGCUCUCCCUAAGUCUCAACUAGAACUAAUCUACUACAUUGGAAAGUCUAGCCCUAAUUCUCUAGAGGUGAGAGGUCAUCCAUUUGAGGGAUGCCUCUACAUCUCCAUAAUGUGGUGCCCUCAGAGAGGGGGGUCUGCCUCUUUAUUUAUAGCCCAGAAAAGCCUCUCAUCUCUUCUAGACAGGCGAUGUGGGACUAAUUCUUCCACCAUUUACUCUAUUGGGCUAUUAUACAUCAACUUAGGUCUUCCAAUCAUCCCUCAUGUGAGCCCACUCAAGGGAGCAGCUUGGGGCGCCUCUCUUGGGCCUCUAUCAUACCAUAUGAGCCUCUUCUCACGUCAUGGGCCUUGCUUGGGCGUGGGGCCCAUUAGUGGUAAUUCUUCUUUAUUUGUAAAAUUAAUAUCUUUUCACUCCAGACUCCAAAUAUAGCAAAUGAUAUGUCCGUUUCGAUCAUCUCGACGAGCCCGUCACAAUGGCAUACUCCAAAUAAUCAUUUGACGUACUUUUAUUUGAUGGAAAAUUUCAUAUUUCUACAAAACAAGUCAGAACACCAAAACUCGUGGAACUUGUUAGAAUCAAACCCUACCACUAUGCUUUAUGGUUGAUAUCAUGUUAUAUUGAGCAAUAGUUGAUGGUAUAAAAUAGACAUUAAGGACCGUCAACAAGUUCUCCCAAGCAUACCCUUUGCUAGUCCCUUAGCGAAGCCUAACUAGUAAACUUGGAUCAGGAGUUGCUACAAUGCUUUCACGCCUCACAAGUACACAAGUAUUCAAACAAGGACUCCCCUCUGGAUUAGAGUGAACUAUUCUGACUCAAGACUCACUCAUUUUACCUUUCACCAUGGGGCUUAUAGUUAUCACUUAGGUCUUGGGCAGUUGAAAGAUAGAAGAGUUAAGUCGAGCACUAUGCUACCUGCUCUUUGAUCAACUAUUAUUCUAGAGUUUAGCAAGAUUUUCAAAUAAAACUUAGAGUUUCCUUGUAUGACACUUUCCAGUCUCUCAUAUGUGCUAUUUUUGGAUUAUCUCUAAGGCAAGUGAGUAUGCCUUCUCUCUGCUCUUAGAAUAUGUGGUAUUUGUAUCACUAAGACGUAGUUGCCUUCUCUCUCUCACCCUACUUCUAAUUAGCUUAUGUGGAGCUCAUAGGUGGGAAAGAUAAUUCAAACCUACUUGCAUGUAUUGCAUAGUUAACCAUGGAUCCAGAGAAACUAAUUAUACAAUCAAGUCAUAUGUGCAUGUGAGUGUAGUGAAUGAAGUGAAUGAAAGUGGUAAUGAGGGGUGAUAACUGAAGGUGAAUAUCUUAUUCUACAAUUGCUCCUUGGGGACAACAUACCUUCCUAAUCUGAGAACAAGGAUUUGGUCGUCUUUCUUUUCUUUUGCAUUGGGACUUUUGUCCUCUUUCUUUCUUUUUCUCUUUUUCUCUCUCUCUCUCUCUUAGAUAUCAGCCAUCCCUUUUAAUUCAAUGAUAACAGUAGGGAGUAUCAACUGGGAUAACUGGGGCUUUAUUGGAUAAGUAGAAUAAGACAUUGAAUAUUUUUGGGUGUCUUCUCCUAGUGUAGGAGUAGAACAUUUUCUAAGUGGAUGUGGAAUGUGUGUGGGUGAAUGUUGGAAUGCGUACUCCUAGGGUAGGAGCAGCAUAGGUACGUGUCUCUAGGAUACAAACAACACAGAGUGUAGUGCGUAUAUGUGGGUGGUACUUCUAGGAACAGAAGUAGCACAUAGUGAAUAUGGUGGAUGAAAGUGGUUGCAUACUUCUAAGGACAGAAGUAGCUAAGAUCAAUAGAUGGAGAGCACAUACCAUUGACUUUAACUAUAUGACUAGUUCCAUAGGGUCUACAUAGCUUAACUACUCUCAAUGCUUAUAGGUUGAAAUAUAAGUGGAGGUUUUCCUAAUCUAAUCAGCAUGAGUAUUUGGCUGUGGUAGGAAUUUUAAAUUCUCAUCAUAAAGGAACUCAUCAUAUAGCAAUUUAAGAUUUUCAAAAUAAAAUUCUCUAGAAUUCUUGCAUCUCUAGGAGCAAGAUUGAUAGCAGCUCAAAACCUUCCCAUAUCAUAUCCGUCAACUACAUAGACUUAGAUCAAGCAUUUUCUACCCACAAGUUUUAGGCUCAGAGCAAAUCUUAACUCCAAACAGUUGUGCCUAAAACUCAAGAGAGUACAAGGUUGAAAAACUAGGUACUUGCAAGGAAUUACGAUAGAGCAACUAUUCAUCAUCUCCAUAUCAGAGUUUAUUCUAGAGGUUCAUCUUAACAGAUUCAUCAAGAGCUCUCCUAGCAAGAUUAAUUGUGAAAGAUAAAAUAUUUAUUGGGUUUCUAAGAUUAUUCAUCUUUUUUUCUUGUCAUAACGCACUAGUAAUAAAUAGAUAAGCGAAUAAGGCAUACUUAGCUCGGUGUACGGGGUUGCUCUCUCCCAAGCUGGAUGUUGACAUAGUCUGUUGAGAUUGCUGACGGGCAGUGAAUACGCACUGAUCCUCCUGGAGUAUCAUAGGUACUUGCUGUCAGUCCUUCUGCCUGUUAGUUCUUUUUGAUCCUUUGAAGCCUAUGAAGCUCAAAUAGACAACAAAGCUUGUGGAACUGAUUAAACGUUACUAAUAAGCCUCUAAGCUUUGAGAGUCUAGAACUUUCUUAUACCUAUUUAUCUUUUAGCAGGAUCAAUAUUAUUAUUUUUUAUAUACUUUUCAUAUUUAUAGUAUGCAGACAGGAAAAUAAAUAUGCUAAAACUUAUUUGUGUGCCACCACAGUAGAUAAGUAUGUAAGCUGAUGCAUCACGUAUUAAAUACAUGGGGCUUAGUAGUUUUCUAAAUGCAAUGCAAUAUAUUUUUAUUUUGUUUUCUAAUGCAUAAACAAUAAAGAUGCAACCACUAAUGCUGUUAAGAAAAAUAAAUAUGCUUAAAGAAAAAUGCAAAUAAAUACAAAGUUACCUCCUGGCGUGGCAUUCAGUGAUUUUAUGUCCUCCGAACAGGUUCUCUUACCAUGUUCAUUCUUAGAUGCUUUAUCUGGUCCCAAAGGUGGAGACCAUGAUAGUUGCACCUCUUGAGAUGGUGUCAUCUAUGUUUAUUGCUUUUCCAAUAGAUUGGAGUCAAGUACAAGUUCUGGGAGCUAGCAACAUAUUCGCUCAGUGUGCAUGUUCAUAGGUCUAGGAUCCUCACUUGUAGGAUUCUCGGGGAGUUGACUAAAGUGUGUCAUGCUCAUAGAGACAAGGCAGAGAUCAAGUGCUUGGAGUCGGCAGCUUGACAUGGUAAUGCUUCUACCAACUUGGACACAUAGUCAACUGCCACCAAGAUGAAUUCAGCAUCUCCAGAUCUUUGGAAUGGUCCCAUGUAGUUGAUUCCCCAAACAUCGAACAUGUCUAUUUGGAGGUUGUUUUGGAGUGGCAUUGCAUCCCGAGCAUUAAUGUUUCCAUGUUUCUGACAUCUAGCGCAUCUUCUAACAAAUUCCUUUGUACUUGAUACGUCAUAGGCCAGAAGAAUCCACUUUGCCAGAUCUUUGCAUGUGUACGGAACGCUCCAUAAUGUCCUCCAUAGGGUGAUGCAUGACAUCUCUCUAUGAUUUUCAUCACUUUAACCAUUGGGACACAUCUCCGCAAUAAUCCAUCAGAACAAACUCGAUAGAGAUAUGAGUCAUCCCAUAAGUGGCAUCGAGCUUUAUAUUUGAGCUUUCUCUUAUCUCAUCAUGGUGGAACAUAUAUUGCAACCAUAUAAUUUACAAUAUCUGCGUACCAUGGGUUGGAGUGUGUUACCGCGAGGAGUGUGUCAUCCCUUAGAUAGUCAUUAAUGAGUAACUCAUGUGUUUCCUUGUACUGGUGCCUAACAAGUGAUCGGCUACUAAAUUAUCUACUCAUUUCUUAUCUUUUAUUUCUAAAUCAAAUUCUUAGAGUAAAAGAAUCCAACGGAUCAACCGAGGUUUAGCAUCUUUCUUAGUGAACAAGUAAGGUUAGCAGGGGGCGUGGGGCUCCGUGCAGGGCCUUUAUAGGCCGCGACCAUCCUCGGGAGGCACGCGGGCGCUCUGAUCGAGCGGUGGCGAUGGCUUCCGCAUGGCACGGUGCGACGGGGAAGAAGCACUGGUGCAGGACGGGGCAUUAGCACCGGUCGGGAAGGGCCUGUUGCCCCGGUUCCCGAGCCGGUGCUGCCCUUCCGGGAGUAAAGGCCCACCCUCCGGUUGGUAAUACCAACCGGUGUUAAAGGGUCCUGCCAGGGCUGCCACGUUGCAGGACCCUUUAACACUGGUUGGUAUUACCAACCGGUGUUAAAGGGUUUUUUUUUGUUUCACUUAUUCGGUUCUGUUUAUUGUUUUAUAUAAUAAUAAUAGGUUUUUUAAUACAGGUUUUUUCUGAUACAAUAAUAUAUUUAUAUUACAUGCAUAUUAAGCAUAUAUAAAUGAAAAUUAUAGGCUUAGCUUAAUAAUUAAGCUUUGCCUAUAAUAAAAUGAAUAGGCCACAUCAAAAAUUAAAUAGAUAUGUAAAAAGCUUUAUAUAUAUAUAGUUUUAUAUGUACAAAAUUCGUAACACAUAUAUACAUAGAGUUUUUUCUCCCAAUGUCUACAAACGAUACAAAUGAUCAUCGUUGUUUGGAAUAAGAGUUUCGUUGCCGUUGAAGUGAAACUCGCUGUUUGGAUUGAUCACUUGCUCGCGGAGAAAUCCUGCUAUCGUCUCUUGGAUAGCUUUGAUUCGGUCUUUUUGUAUGACCUUUUCCCUCAACCAUUCCGUCUUUAAUUUGAAAUAAAUAAAAAGGUAUUAGUUAUAAUUCAGGAGAUAAUGAAAAGAGACAUGUAACGUACUCUGAGCUUCUCUGUGGGUGUUUGAUUGACUUGUGCCAUCAUGAAUUUGCACACGUAAUAUGCACAUAGAUUGUUCCCCCCUUCUUGUCUUAAACACCACUGUACGAUAUAUAUAUAUAUAUAAAAUAUUCACGACCACGAUAAUAAGAAGGCUAAAAGUUAGCGAAAGUUUGCUAGCUAGUAGAACUUACUUGUGGAUGUAUUAUGUUAAGCGACGCUUUACAUCCACUGAGAUGUUCACGGUUAAUGAAUCUUUCCCAAACCCUACACACAGCCAUUGUGGAUCGUGAACUAAUAAUUACAGAGUCAUAUUAUGAUAGAUCGACAUUACGUACCUUUGAAUAAUGUUUACCAUUUGUUGAUAAUUUUCUUGUGGUUUUCUCAUUGAGUCAAAGAUUAUCAACCGGUUCUUGGGAAUUUCAAUGACUAUGAGUAUCCAGUGAAAACUGUUUACACACAUAUAUAUAGUCAGGCCUAUAUAUAACUAUAUAAAACUUGUCUCGAGUAAUAAUUAUUAAAAUAAAAUAUGCAUGCACUUAAUAACUAUAUAACUCACUCGAAGUUGAAGGGAAGAGUAUUUUUUAUUUUUCUUUUUGGUUCACAAAGAACCUCAUAAGAUUGGUGGUGACUUCUGUCUCAUGAGCUGUUGUCCACACUGCCUGCGGAGCCUUGAAAACAAUAUAAGGGUCAACGAACCCAAUACUAUUGUCAUUUCUCAUUCUGAGCUCUCUCAUUUGGUGCCUGCAUAUAUACAUACAAAUCCUAAUUGUGUAAGGAUUAUAUACAUGUAAUUAAAGAAGUUAGAAGUAUAAUAAAAAGAAAAAAAUACUUGCAGACAAAAGCAGCUAACAAGAGAUUUGUCGAGAGCAUCGAGGUGACAUAAUACUAGAAUCUUUUAAGCCUAGUAAUACACUAGAAUAAUAUACUAAAAGAAUAAUACUAGAAUAAUAGUACAAACAAUAAUAUAUACAAAACUCUAGAAAAUAAAAUAUAUAUUAGAGACUUAUAUACUACUAGUACUACUACAAAUGAUAGUGCUAGCGUGCUCCAAAAAUAAUACUAGAAUCUUUUAAGCCAAGUAAUACAAUAGAAUAAUAUACUAAAACAAUAAUACUAGAAUAAUAGUACAAACAAUAAUAUAUACACAACACUAGAAAAUAAAAUAUGAUACAAAAAUAAUACAAGAAUAAUAUACUACAAAUAUAUACUAAAAAAUACUACUACAAAUAAUAUACUAAAAAAAUAAUACUACAAAAUAAUACAAGAAUAAUAUUAAUAUAUUACAAAUAUAUACUAGCAUAAUAUAAUUUAUAACAGGUCAACACUACACUUAUACUAAUAUACUAAAAACUAUUACAAGAAUAAUACACUAACAUCAUGUAUUAUUUUUUAGUGUAUAUAUAUAUACUUAAUUGGGUCAAGGUCUAGAAUAAAGUCAACACAGAACUCUAUGACCUCCUCUAUUUCGUAGCCCUUAGCAAUGCUUCCUUCUGGCCGGGAACGACUAUGGACAUAUUUCUUUAGGACAUCCAUAAAUCUCUCGAAGGGGAACAUGUUUUGUAGGAACACAGGACCGAGAAUACGAAUCUCUUUGAUCAGAUGAACUAGGAGGUGUGUCAUGAUAUCGAAGAAGGAUGGAUAGAACACCAACUCAAAGCUGACGAGACAUUGAACGACAUCAUUCUGUAGAGUAGCUAGUUGCUCUGGAUUGAUUGCCUUCUGAGAAAUUGCAUUGAGGAAUGCACAUAGCUUUACGGUGGCUAGACGUACGUGUGGAGGUAAAAUUCCUCUUAAACCCACCGGCAGCAAUUGCGUCAUUAGAACGUGACAGUCAUGGGACUUCAAGUUUAGGAAUUUCUUCUCUUGCACAUUAAUUAUUCCCUUGAUAUUGGAGGAGAAUCCAGAUGGGACCUUGAUGCUGCUAAGACAUUCAAACAUGCUUUCCUUCUCUUCUUUGCUCAGAGUGUAGCUAGCAGGGCUUAAGUAAUGACGUCCAUCAUCUGUCUUUUCUAGAUGCAGGUUGUCUCGUUCUUUUAUGCGCUGCAAGUCUUGUCAUGCUUCAAGUGAAUCCUUAGACUUUCCGUAGAAACCCAUGAAUUCGAGCAAGUUCACACAAAGAUUCUUUGUCAGAUGCAUCACGUCGAUCACGUUGCGGACCUCUAGGACAUUCCAGUAAGGUAGCUCCCAAAAUAUGGAUUUCUUCUUCCACAUGGGUACGUGUCCCUUAGCAUCCUUGGGAAUAGGUUCGCUGCCUCGUCCCUUUCCAAAUACCAAUUUAUAUCCUUGACCAUUUCGAGUACACCAUCCCCGGUUCGAUUGAGAGGUUUGGUCCGGUGGUCUGCCUUGCCUUUAAAAUGCUUGCCUUUCUUUCGUACUGGGUGGUUCACAGGAAGAAAGCGACGGUGGCCAAGGUACAUGACCUUUCGACAUUUUUUCAAAAAUACACAGUCAAGGUCUUCAUAACAAUGUGUGCAUGCAUUAUAUCCCUUGUUUGACUGGCCUGAAAGAUUACUCAGAGCUGGCCAAUCAUUGAUUGUUACAAACAGCAAUGCUCGUAGGUCAAAGUGCUCUUGUUUGUACUCAUCCCACACGUGAACUCCUGGUUUGCUCCAUAAAAGUUAAAGUUCCUCAACUAAUGGCCUUAGGUAGACAUAUAUGUCAUUGCCAGGUUGCUUCGGUCCUUGGGUAAGCACCGGCAUCAUAAUAAACUUCCGCUUCAUGCAUAGCCAUGGAGGAAGGUUGUAGAUACAUAGAGUAACUGGCCAAGUGCUGUGACUACAGCUCUGCUCAUCAAAAGGAUUCAUACCAUCUGUACUUAAGGCGAACCGCAAGUUUCUAGCAUCAUCUGCAAAAUCUGGGAAUUCUCUGUCUAUCGCUCUCCACUGGGAUCCAUCGGCAGGGUGUCUCAGCAUAUUGUCUAUCUUACGGUCUUCUUUAUGCCACCGCAACAACUUUGCAUUGUCCUUAUUUAUGAACAGACGUUUUAAUCGUGGUAUUAUAGGAGCAUACCACAUAACCUUAGCAGGAAUUUUCUUCCUAUGACGUUCUUCACCCUCAACAUCGCCAGGAUCAUCUCGUCUAAUCUUAUACCGUGAUGCCUUACAUACUGGACAUGCAUCCAAAUUCUCGUAUUCCUCCCCACGGUAGAGGAUGCAGUCAUUAGGACAUGCGUGUAUCUUCUGGAUUUCUAAUCCCAAAGGGCAGACAACCUGUUUUGCUUCAUACGUAGUGGUGGGCAAUUCGUUGCCUUUCGGAAGCAUCUUUUUUAUGAUCUUCAAUAACUGCCCAAAUGCCUUGUCAGAUGUACCAUUCUUUGCCUUCCAUUGCAGCAAUUCCAGUGUGGUACCCAGCUUUUGUUGCCCCUCUUCAGCGGUGGGAUAUAGCGAUUUCCUGUGGUCCUCUAGCAUGCGCUCGAACUUGGCUUUCUCUUUAUCACUUUCACAUUCUCUUUGUGCAUCACGGAUGGCAUCACCAAAAGCAUCAUCGCCCCGAUCAUCUUCUGCCGCUACCUCUUCUUCAUUAUCUCUCCCCAUUGCAACAUCAUUGAAGCCACCGUACUGAGCAAUAAUAUUGGCAUGGUCCAAUUCUUCUUCUUCUUCUUCACCUCCAUCCAUUAUAAUCCCGCUUUCUCCAUGUUUGUCCAACAAAUAUAGUUUGGUAAGAAACCAGACUUUAAUAAGUGCGAAUGAAGAGUUCUUGAGUUAGAAUAUUCCGUCAAAUUCUUGCACAUGACACAUGGAUAGCACAUGAAACCAUCCCUCUUAUUUGUCUAGGCCACACUUAAGAAAUAGUGCACGCCAUUAAUGAACUCUUCGGAGCGCCGAUCGGUAUUAUACAUCCAAUUACGUGUUACCAUCUGCAUUAAAUAUAAUAUAUAUAUUAUGAAAACCAUGCACACAUAUAGUUUCUCAUCUUAUUGCACAAUAUGUCUAAGAUACAUAGUUGAUUAAUUCAGGAAAGCUUGGCUACAACAAAUACAAUCGCAACUAGCACUAAAAAAACCAAAACUAAAAUGCACUUAAGCAACAUAAUUAGUUCGCGUCCGAUCCCAACUAUAAUAGAUAGAUCAUUCGCUUGAUCAACAUCAUUGAACUCCUUUCGUCGGCUCACUGCCUCACCACCUUUAGCCUCAACCACUUGUGCAAAAGAUUUCUUAAUGUGUUCAAUGUAUUCUUCCUCCUAGUACCAACCUGUACAUCGCCGGUACCGUCCCACUAAAAUUAAAAUAGAGAAUCAAAAGUUUAAUUAAUAUCAUUUAAAAAAAUAUGCACAUAUAUAAGCAAAUGUCUGGAAAUAACUCACAUUACGAUCCGGACACUUGUAGAAUAUACGACCCUUGUUUACUCCCUCUUUCGACACUUUGUACUCCAUCACAAUAUUCUGCCUACACUUGCCACAAGUAAUGAGAGGGAGUUCCGGCCAGUAUCGCUUUUGAACCCAUUGAGAGACCGAAGACCCGAUCACGGUUGCCAUCUACUAUCCAUACUCAAUUUUUAAACAAUUAUAAAUUCCACAUUUACUAGUAAACAUGUAUGAUUAAAGAAGAACCUAAUAAUAUCCUUUAUUUGUCUAGUUACUUCAACAAAUCUUCCAAAUUAUACAAUGGACAUUAUGUAGUAAUAAAAAUAAAUCAAGUGAUAUUAACAAACCAAUUAAUUUGAAAUCCUACUUUCUAAGAUCAUAAAAAGAUACUAUAAUUCAUUCUUGCAAACUACAUUAAUACUAGGUCAACCAUGAAAUAUGAUAUAUAUAUAUAUGGAUACUAAUUCAUGUGAAUGAUUCAAAAUAACAAAGUGGAUUUGAGCUAAAAAUAAUGGGAACAUCACAAGCCAAAAACAACAUGAAAAAGACAAGAAAGACAAAAGUUAGUCACCUCCAAACACGAAGAACGAUAACGGAGUCGAAGAAGAUCAACGAUGGGCGUCGGAGAUGAAGAACAAAUGAAGAACAAGUAAGAAGAAGCUCCAAGAACAACAAUGUUGAAUGGUGCUCUCGGUUUCAAAUGGGCAGAGAGGAGGAGGGAUCCGGCCUAUAAACCGGACCUUUAGCACCGGUUCAGGACAAAAACCGGUGCUAAAGGUUGACCCUUUAGCACCGGUGCUAAAGUGUUACAAACCGGUGGUAAAGGCUUUGCCUCGGCCCGUGGCGCUGGCCGGUGCUAAAGGGGUCUUUAACCCCGAGCCGCAAAAAGGCCGAGGUUUUUGGCCAUUUUGGGCAUCGUUUUUGACCAUUUUAGGCAUCGACCAAUGCCUCAUUUUGUAGUAGUGAAGGGCCGCUGUUGCUGACAGGCAGAGCCCACCUGGCGGUCGCAAGGGCGUGGGGUGGGCUGGCGCGGCUGCUGCUGGGCCAUGGCACAGCUGGGCCAAGGCUCAAGUGGAGGGGCGCUCGCGGUCUAAAGCGGAGGUAGGCCAGGGCUAGGCUUCAAGCUAGCGUGGGCCUAAAGAGAGGGAGGGGGAAAAAGAAAAAAAAGGUUUUUUUUUAUUCAAAAGGGUUUAAACCAAUUUUUUUCAGCAUAUUUAUAAACCAAAAUUUAAUUUAUUAAUUUGAGAUUAUUUUAGGAAUUGUUUUCUUUACUAUUUUUUAGAGAAAACAUAUUUCUAAAUUGUUUUUUAACUCAAAUUAGAAUUAGUUUUCAAAUAGGACUUUUAGUGUUUUAUUUUUCUAAAAACCAAAAAGGUCCUACUGAACUUGCUCAAAUUUUAGAAGUUCAUUUUUCUCGCACAAAAACAAAGCUAAGGGUGAGUAGGGGCAGGCUGGCUAGGGAGCAGCAAUGGUCACCAAUCGAUGGCGCCGUGACAAAGGUGUUGAAAGUGAAGAGUGAGCAAACUCGUGUUAUGGACCUUUUUUAUUUCUUUUAGGAACUAAACAUUACAAAUUAGCUCCCUACUUUUUUUACCACUUUCCUGUUUUGAUCCAUUAACACUAAAAUUAGCGGCUAAAAUUAGUACUAGUGCAUCCAAACAAACCGAACCAUAAGUUUCAUUAGCUGAUUUAGAGUUGCUAAUAGAUGCUUAAAGUUUAUAUACACAUUUGACUCACUAUCCAACCAUCUAUUAGUAGGUGCAUCCGAAUGACCUCCUACUAAAAACUAAGUAGCUAAAAAAAUAAUAACUACUCCCUCCAUCUCAAAUUAUAAGACGUUUGACUUUUUUGACUUUAAGUUUGACCGCUUGUCUUAUUCAAAAAAUUUAUGCAAACAUAGUCAAAUUUAAAUCAUUCUUGAAAAACUUUUAUUAAUAAACAAAGUCGUGACAAUGAAGUGAUAUUUUGCACAAAUUUUUUAAUAAAACAAGUAGUGAAACUUGAUGUCAAAAAAAUCAAACGUCUUAUAAUUUUGGGAUGGAUUAAGUAUUAUCUACUAUCUAUAUAAUUUUUAGUGCUAAUAGAUCAAAGAGACCCUCUUAACUCUUUUAGUUUCUGAAGAUGCUCUAAAUCAGUACACUGAAACUAUAAUGUACCUGUCUUAUUUUAUUUUAUUUAACUGAAAUUAUCUCUAGUUUAUAUGAACUAAUGACAGCUCCUAUGCUCAAGAAAUAAACGAGUUAAUUCAUGUCCUACCCAGCUGGCUGGAAAUAUGCUUUCCGGAACAAAAAUCUGCUAAAACCAAGGGAAUAGCAGCAAAUGACAUAGCGCAUGCAGUUCGUUACCAUUUGCGUUAUCACAGGUUGAACCAAAACACUAUCAUGUGACAACCAAAACACUAUCAGUUCGUUGACAGAGAAGGGAAAAAAAUGACUCUUAUUCAUCACCUCGGUGAGACAAGCAAGGCAUUCUUAUUGCAGGUGGCCGCUGACAGGUUUCUCAGCUCCUCGGUGAGAUAAGCAAGGUAUUCUUAUUGCAGGUGGCCGCUGACAGGUUUCUCAGAGCUACUCUCAUACAGUGACGCAACAGCAGUUUCUUCCUCGCAGCUUCUCCCGAGAAAAGCCAUAUUGCAGCGACAUCUCGCACGGUCACUGGUACUGGCUGGCAAGCUGGCCUUCCUUGACGAUAUAGUUGUGCACCGGGAAGUCCUCUCCCUUGAAAUACCUAUCCAGCAUGUCCCUCGCACC